This 562-nucleotide ribosomal RNA is filed under the name uncultured bacterium. Its description in RNAcentral is "partial 16S ribosomal RNA". It matches the Rfam family "Bacterial small subunit ribosomal RNA", at positions 355 to 1375 of the family's 1533-position model. The record is from RNAcentral.
UGGGGAAUAUUGCGCAAUGGGGGGAACCCUGACGCAGCGACGCCGCGUGAGUGAAGAAGGCUUUCGGGUCGUAAAGCUCUUAUCUGCGGGAAGAAGAGACGGUACCGCAGGAGAAAGCCCCGGCUAACUACGUGCCAGCAGCCGCGGUAAUACGUAGGGGGCAAGCGUUGUCCGGAGUAACUGGGCGUAAAGGGCGCGUAGGCGGAAUAAUAAGUCAGUUGUGAAAGAUAUGGGCUCAACUCAUAGAACGCAUCUGAAACUGUUAAAUCUGGAGUAUAGGAGAGGGAAACGGAAUUCCUGGUGUAGCGGUGAAAUGCGUAGAGAUCAGGAAGAACAUCAGUGGCGAAGGCGGUUUCCUGGCCUAAAACUGACGCUGAAGCGCGAAAGCAUGGGUAGCGAACAGGAUUAGAUACCCUGGUAGUCCACGCUGUAAACGAUGUCGAUUUUGGAGGUUGUGCCCUUGAGGCGUGGCUUCCGGAGCUAACGCGUUAAAUCGACCGCCUGGGGAGUACGGCCGCAAGGUUAAAACUCAAAUGAAUUGACGGGGUCAUAGCUGUUUCCU